This 448-nucleotide ribosomal RNA is filed under the name uncultured bacterium. RNAcentral describes it as "bacterial SSU rRNA". It matches the Rfam family "Bacterial small subunit ribosomal RNA", at positions 32 to 513 of the family's 1533-position model. The record is from RNAcentral.
AAUCAACGCUGGCGGCGCGCUUAACACAUGCAAGUCGAACGAGAAAGGGAGCAAUCCUGAGUAAAGUGGCGUACUGGUGAGUAACACGUGGAUAUCUACCUCUUGGUGGGGAAUAACCUGGGGAAACCUGGGCUAAUACCGCAUAAGUUCGUGAGAAGAAAGGCGCAAGUCGCCGAGAGAGGAGUCCGCGGUCGAUUAGGUAGUUGGCAGGGUAAAAGCCUACCAAGCCGAAGAUCGAUAGCCGGCCUGAGAGGGCACACGGCCACACUGGCACUGAAACACGGGCCAGACUCCUACGGGAGGCAGCAGUGGGGAAUCUUGCACAAUGGGGAAACCCUGAUGCAGCGACGCCGCGUGAGCGAUGAAGCCCUUCGGGGUGUAAAGCUCUUUACCAGGGAUGAUAAUGACAGUACCUGGAGAAUAAGCUCCGGCUAACUCCGUGCCAGCA